This 75-nucleotide transfer RNA is filed under the name Tetragenococcus solitarius. Its description in RNAcentral is "tRNA-Phe". It matches the Rfam family "tRNA". Rfam says of the family: Transfer RNA (tRNA) molecules are approximately 80 nucleotides in length. Their secondary structure includes four short double-helical elements and three loops (D, anti-codon, and T loops). Further hydrogen bonds mediate the characteristic L-shaped molecular structure. tRNAs have two regions of fundamental functional importance: the anti-codon, which is responsible for specific mRNA codon recognition, and the 3' end, to which the tRNAs corresponding amino acid is attached (by aminoacyl-tRNA synthetases). tRNAs cope with the degeneracy of the genetic code in two manners: having more than one tRNA (with a specific anti-codon) for a particular amino acid; and 'wobble' base-pairing, i.e. permitting non-standard base-pairing at the 3rd anti-codon position. Lineage: Bacteria; Bacillati; Bacillota; Bacilli; Lactobacillales; Enterococcaceae. RNAcentral also lists the same sequence under 1 other name. The record is from RNAcentral.
UGGAUCGGUAGCUCAGUCGGUAGAGCAACGGAUUGAAGCUCCGUGUGUCGGCAGUUCGAUUCUGUCCCGAUCCAU